UGGAAGCGGAACCUGCGUGGUUCGAUUAAAAUUUAAGCGGAUCUACCGGUUCGAGAAGUUCGUCCGGAUGUUUGCGAGACUGGCGCUAGCGGAGGGCGCUUCGUCGGCGGCCCGUGGAAACGCAGCCACGGCUUCGAUUCAGCGAAACUACGCGAGGAGUCCACCCUCUCUUUGCACGUGGCGCGUCCGCUAUCUUGCUCGUCGCCCCCGCAGAAAAACGUUUCCGCUUUAUUAAAACGGAAAACCAGGGGACGCGCGACACCGGCGAAAAACGAUCGCCUUUGGGAUCGCUUCCCUCGCCACUGGGAUUCUUCCACUCACGUUUUUCAGCGUCUCGUCUCUUGCGGUUUUCCAGGGCUAAUUUUAGCGAGCAAAUGCUUUGGAUAGUCGUUUUUUUAACGAAUUAGACGAGCUUAGAAUGUGACAUGUGAAGAUAUGUCCUGUAUGUCGCGCGUAAUAUAUUUUUUCUGUUUGUAGCAAUGUGAUAAUAAAAGCUGAG
This 499-nucleotide unclassified non-coding RNA is filed under the name Bombus terrestris (buff-tailed bumblebee). RNAcentral describes it as "misc RNA ENSBTSG00005025754.1". The record is from RNAcentral. Lineage: Eukaryota; Metazoa; Arthropoda; Insecta; Hymenoptera; Apidae.